This 1022-nucleotide long non-coding RNA is filed under the name Canis lupus familiaris (dog). Its description in RNAcentral is "lncRNA (ENSCAFG00040007231.1)". Lineage: Eukaryota; Metazoa; Chordata; Mammalia; Carnivora; Canidae. The record is from RNAcentral.
AUUCUCUAGUUGAAUACAUUUUUUUGCUAUAAGUUACCUUACUGAUAACUUUAUUCAAUCUGUUUAUUCUACCGAUUAAUAAACAGAGGCCAAGAGAAGAUAAUGCAUUGCCCACAGUUCACGACUAGUAAUCACAAGUGGUUAGUAUUAAGCUGAAACAUUUUGGCUUUUUCCCCAUUUUUCUACACUAGAUUGGUUGACUCUACUCUUUAUUUAACUGAUGCAUUAAUUUUAUGAGUUACAGGUGAUUGGCACUACAAGUAAUGCCAUUUUCACUCAAUUCUUUAUAAAAUUUGCCAUAUCUUUCUCCUUUCAGGUCUUUCAGCAUAACUGUGCCUUCGCAGACUGAUGACACCUGCACUCAUACAAUGAAACAUCACACAGAGUUGAUCUCAUUUUCUCAUAGGAUUGGGUAUUUCCAGGCUCAGCACUUCCUGACACAGCUGCCCAGGGGUUCACAAGCCAACCCAGAGGACUGCUGGAAAGCCACAGGACCAAAAGGCUCUGGUUCUGCAAAUUUGCAGAUGAGGCACCUGUCAUCUACAAUUUCUCAUUCCCCCCUUAUGCAAUGAUUUGUUCAUUAUUGAAAGGAAAUAGAGGAAUAAGAGUUUAUGUAUUGGGUGGACACCCAAUUAGAAGCAAGGAUGGAAAGUAGAAACAAUGACAAAUAGUACCGGCAAUAUCUAAAUUUAAAAAAAAAAAAAACACAUUUAAUUUGAGCCAGCCCAGAGACCUGCCUAGGAUGUACAUGCACUCAUAUAUGCACACACACACACACACACAUGCACACUAUUCAGUCCUCUUGACUUAAUAUUUGCAGGCCAAAAAAAUGGUUGCUUUAUAAUUUUAACAAAUCAUCAUCUUUUAGUGACAUCCUUAUUUAGUGUCUUCUCAAGCUUUCUUUAACUAAGGAGCUCAGCUUGUGGCACAGACAUAUCCCACUAGCUUGUGAGAUGGAAUUAGUGAUAAAGACCUUGAAUUUGGAUUGAAAGGUUUCCUAUCUUUACAUUGUUGAGAAAGUC